AGUGAACGCUGGCGGUAGGCCUAACACAUGCAAGUCGAACGGCAGCACAGUAAGAGCUCGCCCUUACGGGUGGCGACUGGCGGAUGGGUGAGGAAUACAUCGGAAUCUACUUUUUCGGGGGGGAUAACGUGGGGCAACUUACACUAAUAGCGCAUACGUCCUACGGGUGAAAGCAGGGGAUCUUCGGGCCUUGGACGAUUGAUUGAGCCGAUGUCGGAUUAGCUAGUUGGCGGGGUAAAGGCCUACCAAGGCGACGAUCCGUAGCUGGUCUGAGAGGAUGAUCAGCCACACUGGAACUGAGACACAGUCCAGACUCCUACGGGAGGCAGCAGUGGGGAAUAUUGGACAAUGGGCGAAAGCCUGAUCCAGCCAUACCGCGUGGGUGAAGAAGGUCUUCGGGUUGUAAAGCCCUUUUGUUAGGAAAGAAAAGCAGUAGAUUAAUCCCCCGCUGUUCUGACGGUACCCAAACAAUAAGCACCGGCUAACUUCGUG
This 492-nucleotide ribosomal RNA is filed under the name uncultured bacterium. Its description in RNAcentral is "partial 16S ribosomal RNA". It matches the Rfam family "Bacterial small subunit ribosomal RNA", at positions 29 to 507 of the family's 1533-position model. The record is from RNAcentral.